Molecule: long non-coding RNA, 2264 nt
Filed under: Nicotiana tabacum (common tobacco)
Lineage: Eukaryota; Viridiplantae; Streptophyta; Magnoliopsida; Solanales; Solanaceae
Description: long non-coding RNA (NTAB_LNC002535)
Source: RNAcentral
CAGUCAAACAAGUUCACAUAAAUUGAAACGAAGAGAGUAUGUUAUUAGUGGCUAACCAACCGUGCACUUCCCCGUAGCCGGCUCAAAACUGGCUAUCCCACCCAAUUUUCCCUGUCCGGUGGCCCAUUGACAGCUCGUUUUCCUCUUAUUCAUAAUCCAGUAAUCCACCAUAACAGAUAAGUUCUGAGCACUCACUCGCACCCCGCACAUCUCUUACUCUUUCUCUAUGCCUUCAACUAGGUAUUUAAUCCUUCUUUCUGUUUCGAUUUUUUUUUUCGCCUUUGUGUUUUUGCGGAAGUAGGGCUAUUUUUGAAGCCUUUGUGCAUUUGUUAUUAUUCAAUUUUAUGGUCUUCGCCUUUACAACUAUUUGUCGACUUCCACAAUGUAAUAAUCUUGUAACAUUGGAAUUUAGGGGGUUUAAAUAUGAUAGUUGUGAAAGUAAUGUUGUUGAAUCUGCCAUUUUGAAGCAUUUAUGGGGUCAAAUUUAAGUUUAUUCUAAAUUUUGAAUAACAAAAGUUUAGAUUUUAAAAAAUUCAAUUAGUUUCGAUUCAAUUGCUUCUUAUUAGUUUUAUGCAUCCUAAUGUAAUGUAAUAUCCAAACCAUCCAGUUAUUUCAAGCUCAACAUUUGAAAUACACUCACCUGACAGAAUAAAUUGAGUGUUUCUGGCCUUAUUUUGUUAUUGAAGUUUUUCUGGCUUGAGGGCUUUGGACAACUUCACCUUUUUUCCCCUUUCUUUUUGGUUACUAAGUAGAGUAGGGGCUAUUUGAAUGUACAAUUUGAAUGGGUACAAUUGAUAGGAAGGUGUAUAGGUCGAGAAUUAGGGUAGAAGGUUAGUACGUAAUCGAGAGUGUUUCUUCCCCACACCAGUAGUAUUAGUAGUUAGUCUUCUAUUCUAUUAUUGUUAUAUCUUUAUUACUACAUCUUUUGCUUUGUUUUCUUAUUAUAUUGAUGUUGUUACUGUUUGUUGGUAGUGCUUUCUUUUUAUCUUUCCUUGAGCUGGGGCUCUAUCGGAAACAGCCUCUUUACCCGCAAGGUAGGGGUAAGGUCUGCGUACACGCUACCCUCCUCCCACUAUUAUACUGGGUUUGUUGUUGUUGUUUUCCCCCUUUCUUUUUGGUUACUAAAUAACGUAGGGGCUAUUUGAAUGUAAAAUCAACUUGAAUGGGUACAAAAUAACUGUAGUUUAUAGUAUAUGAAACCACGAGGAGCAUUACUAAUGGUUUGUGUUAGCCAUAAAUUCAUAUAGUUGUACUGCAGGGUUACGGAGACAGGAAAGUAUUUCUUUCCAUGCAUAAAGACAAAGUUCUAUUGUAUUGGGGAUUUGCCAUAUUAUUUACUAAUUACUGAUGGUAGAAUACUUCCAGCGUCUGCAUCUGAUAUUCAUUCAGUUGUAUAUGCAUUUGCUUUGUUUAGGCUACGUUUGUUUCUAAUACUUCUCCAUAGAGUUUGUGGAUUUUUCGUCUGCUUGGUCUUUAACCCCCAUUCCCUGUGGUUCUGUCCGAUUUUCUUUUAUGUAGAACAUCUCCAAGGGCUUGAAUAUGAUCCUAAAUGGGUGCUCCUUAAGCCUCUCCAAGUCCUAUGGAUCUGCAUCAUCAAGCAGUUCACUACUGCUGUCUUCUAAGGUUGUAACCUCAUGUGUUAGACGUUCACCAGCACCUCAUCGGUACUAGCUGACAUCCUGCUCCAAAGGUGUGUAUGACAUCUUUGUGCUGAUCCUUUUGCCUGUCAUUAUUUCAGUAUGUAUUUAUGAUUUAUAAUAAAUGUGUUAUUGAAAUGGUGGUUGCUGUUGCAUCAUAUGCAAUAACUGCAACAAAAAUAGAAUGAUAUUUCGUCUCUUAAUGAGGGGGCGAAGUCCUCAGCAGGCUAUAGCUCUUUAGCUUGAGAAAGCUGAUUUUUACCAAAGAAUAAAUCUGAUUUUUAUGUUGGUUCUGUGUAGCUCGUUUUGUUUCUAUUUAAUGAAGGGUUCAAUCAUUGGGAUCUCCGCUCAUUAAGUGCAUUUUUUUUUCCUUUUACAACCACUUCUUUUUUCUUAAUUGGUAUGAUUCAUUGACUUUCGAUUAAAGAUUCCUGUGAAGAUGACAUUUUAUCACUACUCUAUUCAUUACCACCGCAUGAUCAUUAAAGACAUAGUUCAAUUAAAGAUCCCUGUGGCAUUUUUCACUGCUCUAUCAAACUACCACCGUAGGACCACCACAAUCACGAACCUCCACCACAUAUCCAUGACCGCCAACCACCACUAGUGAGUAGUGACAACCUUCACGNN